UGUGUCGUAUGUGUGAGGUGAGUGCGUGAAUGCUUGUGUGCGUGAAUGUUUGUCUUUUUUGUGUUAAAAAAAAAAAAAAUCUACACCGUGAUCUUAUUUGAUCGGAUCCUAGUUGCCCUGCUCGGAUUUAGAGAUGAUAAUAACCGACUCGUGAGCUUUGUUGCGAUGAUCGAUAGGCAUUUUCACAACUCGGGGCAGCCACGGUUUAGGCUGUGGUCAGAAAUGAUGAAUCGAUCAGAUAUACUAGAGCAGACGGAUUACUGGGUCUCGACCCAGUGUUUCUCUGUUUGCUCCGUGAGUAUUACGGCGAUUCUGAUCUCA
Molecule: non-coding RNA, 321 nt
Organism: Triplophysa dalaica
Lineage: Eukaryota; Metazoa; Chordata; Actinopteri; Cypriniformes; Nemacheilidae
Product: small Cajal body-specific RNA 2
Exons: 1
Source: RefSeq, a predicted model, not a curated record